Molecule: ribosomal RNA, 484 nt
Filed under: uncultured bacterium
Lineage: Bacteria
Description: partial 16S ribosomal RNA
Rfam family: Bacterial small subunit ribosomal RNA
Source: RNAcentral
AUUGAACGCUGGCGGCAGGCCUAACACAUGCAAGUCGAGCGGAUGAAGGGAGCUUGCUCUUGGAUUCAGCGGCGGACGGGUGAGUAAUGCCUAGGAAUCUGCCUGGUAGUGGGGGAUAACGUCCGGAAACGGGCGCUAAUACCGCAUACGUCCUGAGGGUGAAAGUGGGGGAUCUUCGGACCUCACGCUAUCUGAUGAGCCUAGGUCGGAUUAGCUAGUUGGUGGGGUAAAGGCCUACCAAGGCGACGAUCCGUAACUGGUCUGAGAGGAUGAUCAGUCACACUGGAACUGAGACACGGUCCAGACUCCUACGGGAGGCAGCAGUGGGGAAUAUUGGACAAUGGGCGAAAGCCUGAUCCAGCCAUGCCGCGUGUGUGAAGAAGGUCUUCGGAUUGUAAAGCACUUUAAGUUGGGAGGAAGGGCAGUAAGUUAAUACCUUGCUGUUUUGACGUUACCAACAGAAUAAGCACCGGCUAACUACGUG